GUAACAAGGUCUCCGUAGGUGAACCUGCGGAGGGAUCAUUACACAAAUAUGAAGGCGGGCUGGAAUCUCUCGGGGUUACAGCCUUGCUGAAUUAUUCACCCUUGUCUUUUGCGUACUUCUUGUUUCCUUGGUGGGUUCGCCCACCACUAGGACAAACAUAAACCUUUUGUAAUUGCAAUCAGCGUCAGUAACAAAUUAAUAAUUACAACUUUCAACAACGGAUCUCUUGGUUCUGGCAUCGAUGAAGAACGCAGCGAAAUGCGAUAAGUAGUGUGAAUUGCAGAAUUCAGUGAAUCAUCGAAUCUUUGAACGCACAUUGCGCCCUUUGGUAUUCCAAAGGGCAUGCCUGUUCGAGCGUCAUUUGUACCCUCAAGCUUUGCUUGGUGUUGGGCGUCUUGUCUCUAGCUUUGCUGGAGACUCGCCUUAAAGUAAUUGGCAGCCGGCCUACUGGUUUCGGAGCGCAGCACAAGUCGCACUCUCUAUCAGCAAAGGUCUAGCAUCCAUUAAGCCUUUUUUCAACUUUUGACCUCGGAUCAGGUAGGGAUACCCGCUGAACUUAAGCAUAUC
RNAcentral lists this ribosomal RNA (567 nucleotides) under Alternaria sp. NCP-2014a. RNAcentral's name for it is "eukaryotic LSU rRNA". The stretch from base 207 to 360 matches the Rfam family "5.8S ribosomal RNA". Lineage: Eukaryota; Fungi; Ascomycota; Dothideomycetes; Pleosporales; Pleosporaceae. The record is from RNAcentral.